AUAUUGAAAAACAACAGAUGAUCUGCUUCGAAGGGACAUAAACAGGCCAAGCGGAUGCAGGUUAAUAAAACCCAAAAAAAAAGCCCAGACAGGAACACUUAAAAUGCCCGAGAAACAAAGCACACCAUGACAAAUUCUCACCCAACACACAAGUACACGCACCGGAAUGUUCCCAGACAC
RNAcentral lists this small RNA (180 nucleotides) under Prolemur simus (greater bamboo lemur). Its description in RNAcentral is "sRNA (ENSPSMG00000017081.1)". Lineage: Eukaryota; Metazoa; Chordata; Mammalia; Primates; Lemuridae. The record is from RNAcentral.